This 301-nucleotide ribosomal RNA is filed under the name uncultured bacterium. RNAcentral's name for it is "bacterial SSU rRNA". It matches the Rfam family "Bacterial small subunit ribosomal RNA", at positions 338 to 637 of the family's 1533-position model. The record is from RNAcentral.
CCUACGGGACGCAGCAGUGAGGAAUAUUGGUCAAUGGGCGAGAGCCUGAACCAGCCAAGUCGCGUGAGGGAUGACUGCCCUAUGGGUUGUAAACCUCUUUUGUAUGGGGGGAAUAAGCUUUACGAGUAGAGUGAUGACAGUACCAUACGAAUAAGCAUCGGCUAACUCCGUGCAAGCAGCCGCGGUAAUACGGAGGAUGCGAGCGUUAUCCGGAUUUAUUGGGUUUAAAGGGUGCGUAGGCGGCAUUAUAAGUUAGUGGUAAAAUAUUGGGGCUUAACUUAACUAGGCAAUUAUUAUGGUA